Small nuclear RNA from Oreochromis niloticus (Nile tilapia), 102 nucleotides. The record is from Ensembl. Lineage: Eukaryota; Metazoa; Chordata; Actinopteri; Cichliformes; Cichlidae.
GCUUGAUUUGACAAGCAGGGACACAAAAUCAGAGACAACACAGAGAAGAUUAGCACAGCACCUCCACAAGGAUGAGACGCAACAGUCAAACUCUACGAUUAA